This 30-nucleotide non-coding RNA is filed under the name Macaca fascicularis (crab-eating macaque). RNAcentral also lists the same sequence under 1 other name. Lineage: Eukaryota; Metazoa; Chordata; Mammalia; Primates; Cercopithecidae. The record is from RNAcentral.
UCACCAGCGUGGGAACUCCACAGACAUCCU